This is a non-coding RNA of Methanobacterium sp., 74 nucleotides long. The record is from Rfam. NCBI's taxonomy places the organism in Archaea, Methanobacteriati, Methanobacteriota, Methanobacteria, Methanobacteriales, Methanobacteriaceae.
GGGCCCGUAGCUCAGUCUGGGAGAGCGCCUGGCUUUUAACCAGGUGGCCGCGGGUUCAAUUCCCGUCGGGCCCG